CCUACGGGUGGCUGCAGUGGGGAAUUUUGGACAAUGGGGGAAACCCUGAUCCAGCCAUGCCGCGUGCGGGAAGAAGGCCUUCGGGUUGUAAACCGCUUUCAGCCGGAAAGAAAUCGCACGGACCAAUACUCUGUGUGGAUGACGGUACCGGAAGAAGAAGCACCGGCUAACUACGUGCCAGCAGCCGCGGUAAUACGUAGGGUGCGAGCGUUAAUCGGAAUUACUGGGGGGGUUGCGUGCGCCAGACGUUAAAUCCCCGGGCUUAACCUGGUAACUGCGGUUGGAACUGGGAGACUAGAGUGUGUCAGAGGGAGGUGGAAUUCCGCGUGUAGCAGUGAAAUGCGUAGAUAUGCGGAGGAACACCGAUGGCGAAGGCAGCCUCCUGGGAUAACACUGACGCUCAUGCACGAAAGCGUGGGGAGCAAACAGGAUUAGAUACCCGUGUAGUC
RNAcentral lists this ribosomal RNA (449 nucleotides) under uncultured bacterium. RNAcentral describes it as "partial 16S ribosomal RNA". It matches the Rfam family "Bacterial small subunit ribosomal RNA", at positions 338 to 795 of the family's 1533-position model. The record is from RNAcentral.